This 497-nucleotide ribosomal RNA is filed under the name uncultured bacterium. RNAcentral's name for it is "partial 16S ribosomal RNA". It matches the Rfam family "Bacterial small subunit ribosomal RNA", at positions 28 to 507 of the family's 1533-position model. The record is from RNAcentral.
GAUGAACGCUGGCGGCGUGCCUAAUACAUGCAAGUCGAGCGAACAGACGAGGAGCUUGCUCCUCUGACGUUAGCGGCGGACGGGUGAGUAACACGUGGAUAACCUACCUAUAAGACUGGGAUAACUUCGGGAAACCGGAGCUAAUACCGGAUAAUAUAUUGAACCGCAUGGUUCAAUAGUGAAAGACGGUUUUGCUGUCACUUAUAGAUGGAUCCGCGCCGCAUUAGCUAGUUGGUAAGGUAACGGCUUACCAAGGCAACGAUGCGUAGCCGACCUGAGAGGGUGAUCGGCCACACUGGAACAGAGACACGGUCCAAACUCCUACGGGAGGCAGCAGUAGGGAGUCUUCCGCAAUGAGCGAAAGCCUGACGGAGCAACGCCGCGUGAGUGAUGAAGGUCUUCGGAUCGUAAAACUCUGUUAUUAGGGAAGAACAAAUGUGUAAGUAACUAUGCACGUCUUGACGGUACCUAAUCAGAAAGCCACGGCUAACUACGUG